RNAcentral lists this ribosomal RNA (500 nucleotides) under uncultured bacterium. Its description in RNAcentral is "partial 16S ribosomal RNA". It matches the Rfam family "Bacterial small subunit ribosomal RNA", at positions 30 to 523 of the family's 1533-position model. The record is from RNAcentral.
AUUGAACGCUGGCGGAAUGCUUUACACAUGCAAGUCGAACGGCAGCACGGACUUCGGUCUGGUGGCGAGUGGCGAACGGGUGAGUAAUGUAUCGGAACGUGCCCAGUCGUGGGGGAUAACGUAGUGAAAAUUACGCUAAUACCGCAUACGAUCUAUGGAUGAAAGCGGGGGAUCGCAAGACCUCGCGCGAUUGGAGCGGCCGAUAUCAGAUUAGGUAGUUGGUGGGGUAAAGGGCCACCAAGCCAACGAUCUGUAGCUGGUCUGAGAGGACGACCAGCCACACUGGGACUGAGACACGGUCCAGAAUCCUACGGGAGGCAGCAGUGGGGAAUUUUGGACAAUGGGCGAAAGCCUGAUCCAGCCAUUCCGCGUGCAGGAUGAAGGCCCUCGGGUUGUAAACUGCUUUUGUACGGAACGAAAAGGUUUCUACUAAUACUAGGAGCUCAUGACGGUACUGUAAGAAUAAGCACCGGCUAACUACGUGCCAGCCGCCGCGGUAA